RNAcentral lists this small nucleolar RNA (138 nucleotides) under Dasypus novemcinctus (nine-banded armadillo). Its description in RNAcentral is "Small nucleolar RNA SNORA70 (ENSDNOG00000028418.1)". It matches the Rfam family "Small nucleolar RNA SNORA70". From Rfam's summary of the family: snoRNA U70 seems to be exclusive to mammals and is a member of the H/ACA class of snoRNA which contain H (ANANNA) and ACA box motifs. H/ACA box snoRNAs are involved in the conversion of uridines to pseudouridines (5-ribosyluracil) a constituent of structural RNAs (transfer, ribosomal, small nuclear, and small nucleolar). Lineage: Eukaryota; Metazoa; Chordata; Mammalia; Cingulata; Dasypodidae. The record is from RNAcentral.
CUGCAGCCAAUUAAACCGACUGGCCCCCUCUCCUUGUGGGGGCCCGAUGUGCAGUGGCUGCAGACAGCAGCCUCUUUGGUAGUGUAUGUGCCCUGUUGCCUGUAUGGGUUGCCCUAAUAAGGGACCUUGGAGACAGUC